UAAUACGGAGGGUGCAAGCGUUGUUCGGAAUUACUGGGCGUAAAGCGCGUGUAGGCGGCUUGGCAAGUCGGAUGUGAAAUCCUCGGGCUCAACCCGAGAACUGCAUCCGAAACUGCUUCGCUAGAGUCUCGGAGAGGAAGGCAGAAUUCCCAGUGUAGGGGUGAAAUCCGUAGAUACUGGGAGGAAUACCGGCAGCGAAGGCGGCCUUCUGGACGAUGACUGACGCUGAGACGCGAAAGCGUGGGGAGCAAACAGGAUUAGAUACCCUGGUAGUCCACGCCGUAAACGUUGUGCACUAGGUGUCGGGAGUAUUCACCCUCCCGGUGCCGACGCUAACGCAAUAAGUGCACCGCCUGGGGAGUACGGCCGCAAGGCUA
Molecule: ribosomal RNA, 377 nt
Filed under: uncultured bacterium
Lineage: Bacteria
Description: bacterial SSU rRNA
Rfam family: Bacterial small subunit ribosomal RNA
Source: RNAcentral